CAAAAGGGGCCAAGAAUAGUACUCUUCAAGUGAAACCAAGGGUCAUAAUGUCAGUAAAAGACGCCAGGGAGUAUCUGUCUAGCAAAUGUGACAAAAAUGAAGAGCUCCGGAAUGAACCUGUUCAAGGAAGUGAUGCUCUUCCAAUGCCACAAAGGGAUAAAAAUGAGAACCAGGUGGAGGAUAUGGCUAACAAUGCAUUUAUGUAUAAACCUGAAGAAAGUGACGAAGAAGUUGAAGGAGACGAAGGGGACAUCAUUGAUGAUGUUCAAAGGCCCCCGUUCUUCAUUAGAUGAUGAAGGUAAUGGUAAGAUUUCAAUGACGGAACUAUCUAAGGAACAAGAGAAUUGGUUCGAAGAAAAUUUUGGUGAAUUUGAGUCCAUAGUUAAGAAGAUUGGAGUUGGUUUUAGAGAUAAUUACAUGGUUUCAAGAAAAGAAGAAGAUCAAGAAUCAAGUACCAACAUAGCAGAGCUUGGAUCUAAUAAAGAUGAUGACAGUGAACUGGAACGGAUGAAAGAUGACAAUCUCAGGGAAAUUGUUUUGCAAGUCCAAGAAAAUGAGCUGGGAGGGUGGGAUCCAUUUUAUAUGAUGGAUGCUGAAGAUAAGGUUGCAUUCUUCAAGGGUCUUGAGAAGAAAGUUGAAAAAGAGAAUCAAAAGCCGUUGAAACUACAUGGGUGGCUCCACUGAAAAAUUGAAAAUCUCGACUAUGGUGUAGAUGGUAUCAGCAUAUAUGACACACCAGAAAAAAUUAUACCACACUGGAAAGGUGCUCCUAUAGAGAAGAGUCCUGAAUUUUUAAAUUAUUUUUAAGAGCAACGGAAGGCAAUUUUUUCUGAUAAUACUGGGAUUUUAUAUCCUGUUCAGAAAGAUGAGAAGUCAAUACCACAAUCCAAUGAGACUAUUCCAAAUUUCUUAUCAGCUAAUGACUCAAGGAAAAAGAAUAAAACAGAUUCCAAGACUGUUAUAGAAGCUAGUGACGGUUCUGUUAUAGCUGGCAAAAAGUCAGGAAGGAAUUUUGGCAACACACAAAGAAAUGGUCCCAGGGAUUUGUGGAAUCCUACAAUGCAGAGACAGACCCAGAAAUUAAAUCCACUAUGAAGGACAUGGUGAAGGAUUUGGAUUGAUGGAUCAUUGAAGAAAUACAGGAAGCUGCAGAGUUUAUGGACAGCAUGCCUGAAAAAAGUAAGCAAUUCAUGGAAAAGAAACUUAGCAAGCUUAAGAGAGAGAUGGAAUUGUUUGGACCACAAGCUGUAGUAAGCAAAUACCGUGAAUAUGCAGAAGUGAAGGAAGAAGAUUAUUUGUGGUGGUUAGAUCUUCCUUCUGUGCUGUGCAUCGAGUUGCACACAAAUUAUAGAUGAAGAACAAAGAAUAGGAUUUUAUUCAUUGGAGAUGGCUGCAGAUCUUGAAUUGGAACCGAAGCUUGGCAAUGGACAUGCCUUUGUUGUUCCCCAGCCACCUAAGGUAAGGAAUUGAUUUGUUUUGAUGCUGACUUUAAUAUUUCAAGUACAUCAUCUUGCAAUUUCCUUUGUUGCAAAUUGCCAUGCAAUUAUGAUCUCAGCAAAUUUUCAUUUGUAAGCUUCCCCUGUAUGUCAAGAAACUGAAGAUAUGAUGCAUUUUGGUUUAAUAUGUUUUGCAGUCGCAAAUUGAGUCACUUUUCUGAGAGUAGGGUCAAUGGUUCCUUUUUUGUUUCCUAUUUAUGUAGAUGAAGGGAAUAAGGGUCCCUGUUGUUUUCUUUUAUACUUUUACUAUUUUUUGUUUAGGAUUAAAUUCAGUUUACCCCCUUAAACUUUAGGGCUAAAAUCAGUUCAGUCCCCAAACUUUCAAAAUGCAUCACCCUAGUCCAAAAUUUGAAUUUAGAUCGAAAUGUGAUGUCAUCUAGUGAGUUGGAGCGGACAUAGUGGCCCAUUUUUCAGCCUUUCACCCUUCAUUUGAGAAAUAGGAAGAGUCGUGGUUUUGCACUAUUGCACUAUUGCACUAUUGUUAGAGCGUUUAUGUUUUUAAUUUUAGGGUGGAAUGUGAAAAUGUCCAUUACACCCUUCUACGGGGUUCAUAGUCUGUAAAAAUGGGCCAACAUGUUUGGCCAACUCAGCUUGUGACGUAAUCAUUGAAGUCAAUUUCGAAAUUUAGACACGACUGAUGAAAACUGAAAGUUCAUGGACUAAACUGAUUAAAAAAAAAAGAUCAGGGACUGAACUAAUUAAAAAAAAAGAUCAGGGACUGAACUGAUUUUAGUUCUAAAAUUUGAGGUGGUAAACUAAAUUUAAUCCUUUUGUUUAUAUUUGUCUCUUUUUCUUUAUCUGUACAAAACUAUUGAAAGUGAUUGGUAUUAUACAAACUAUAAGAUUAUUGCCAGGAUAAGAUGACUUUUUUUUUUUUUUUUUUUGGUCGAAGACAGGAUACUUUUUUAAUUUCUUCAACAAGUAGAUUUACAUACUAAAAAACAAACUAAAUUACAAGAUAAGAACCAAAACAGGUCCAAGAACAAAAAGCAAGCCCCUCAAGCCGAACAAGCCUUAGCCCAGGUACAGAUUGAGCUAUGAGUUUCGUUGGCGUCGCCGUCGCAACCCAGAGUUGACUGCGACACAGAGACGUCACAAAAUCUGCCGUAGAAAGCUUGAAAGCUAGCCAAAUCAAACCAGCGCAGGAAAAGCUACGCAGAACCCAUCCAGAUAAACCCUAAGAUAUCCAUGACCCAAUUUCCAUCACCAUACAAAACAUCAACUAUCACCAACAUCAGAAAACCAGGCAAAAAAUUGCCCGGCCACAAGGUAACCAAAGAAAAAAGAAAAAAGAAAGAGAGAUCGAGAACAGCAUGAGCGGAUUCGCCAACAUGCUGAUAUAUGAUAUACGAUACAACACUGAUAACAAUCGAUGAACAUUCGUUGAACCUGAUGGGUGAGGAUGAUGUGCAUCACAUACACGAAAAUUCUGGAAUUUGGGAAAUGGAGGAAUAGAACAAAGAAAGAUAGGAAAGAACAGAAGAAGAGGAGAGAACAAAGUGGGAGGAUCGGAAAUGGAACAGAAACGAGGAAAAAGUUGAAGAAAGGGGAAGAACUGUGGUGGGAAGAAUUGUAGUCAUCAGAGGAUGGGUAAUCUGAAAUUGAAGGAUUAUGGAGAUUUGGAACAGGGAUUUAGAGAAGGAAAGGAAAAUAAAACCAUGCCUGCCACCGCCGGACAGAGGAACUACCACGAAGGUAGAGGGAUGUACCACGAAGGUAGGGGAAGAUGAAGAGAAGAAAAAAGAAAAGAGGAGAGAGAGAACAGAGGUUCUCCCCUUGAGAUGUGCUUAUAAUCCGCUUCUAGAGUUCAAAGUUUUUAGGAUAAGAUGACUUGAAAAUUACAAUAUAUGUGGUGCUAGUGACAGAAAGAUAUAGUAGUAGAA
RNA transcript from Fragaria vesca subsp. vesca, 3379 nucleotides. RefSeq lists it as uncharacterized. The record is from RefSeq and is a predicted model, not a curated record. The transcript is spliced from 3 exons. NCBI's taxonomy places the organism in Eukaryota, Viridiplantae, Streptophyta, Magnoliopsida, Rosales, Rosaceae.